UUAGGACUUCAAGGAAGAAAUGUCUGGAUUCUGUCAGGGCAACAGGUGUCCAGAGAUUUUUGGGUUUCUCUGAGCCACCUUCAGCUGGGGUCUGUGAUACCAGGAACUGUUUUUGCCAAAAUUUUCAAGACAGGAGCUAAGCUUUGACAUUUGCAGAUCAAACUAAACUAGCAGGAUGUUUGGCAGUGGCCAUGGCAGCAACAAAGCUGUACGGGGCCUCGCAGCUGAGGUGCCACGCACCGGCACUAGGGACAAAGUGGGUCCCUGGGCCAUGACUGCACCUGGCUCUCACCAGAGAGACAACAGAGCUGAGGCUUUCGCUCACGUGCAGAAGGCAAAGGGAGGCUGCUGAUUAUUUAAAGGAAGUCAGGGUUUGACAUCUAUCUGUUCCCCCAUCCUGCCCUUGCAAUUCUCUUUUCCCAUUGCAAGCUGUCGGAUGGAGACGGGAUUCGGGACCAGGCCUGGUGUGUAUGAGCGGGAUACAGCUGCACCUCAGCUCCUGCAUGGACAUUCCCAAGCACUCCCUCACAACUGGCUGCAUUUCCUGGGCCAUGUGUUGGAGCAGAUGCAAGCUUCUUGCACAAGAAGGUGCAGACCUGGCUGGAUUUAUACCUUUGUGGGAGCAGAGGCACUGGCUGCUGCCAAUGGCUCUCAGCGAGGAGCACUUCAGGCAAGUCCCAUCUGUGUCCCUGUUCAAUGUCAUGAUCUAGGAAUGCAGCUACUGCUCAGGCAGCUGGCCACAGCAACUGCAGAAAAGAACAGAGCACCUGGUCCGAUCCUCAUGGAGGGGAGUGGGGACCUCUGUACGGGCUUCCAGGACAGCUGUACCCUGACACACAAACAGCCCUGUGGCAGAUAUCAAAUGCUGUUGUUCCCUAGCAGUCUGCUGAUGUUAUCGCUCUUUCUUUGAGGAGUCAGAAACAACAAGAUCCUACAAUGACAAACCACAAUGUCUCUUGCGGUACAUAAAGACAGGUUCUUGUCGGUGGCUGCUGUCACUAAAUGCUGUUUAUGGCACUGCCUCAUGCAAAACACCACAACAGCCAGAAAC
Molecule: long non-coding RNA, 1051 nt
Organism: Pseudopodoces humilis (Tibetan ground-tit)
Lineage: Eukaryota; Metazoa; Chordata; Aves; Passeriformes; Paridae
Source: RefSeq, a predicted model, not a curated record